This is a long non-coding RNA of Dermacentor silvarum, 950 nucleotides long. RefSeq lists it as uncharacterized. NCBI's taxonomy places the organism in Eukaryota, Metazoa, Arthropoda, Arachnida, Ixodida, Ixodidae. The transcript has 4 exons. The record is from RefSeq and is a predicted model, not a curated record.
UUUUAGAAAAAAACUGCCCUAUAUAUUGCGCCAGGGAUAUGUCCCCUCGCUGUGCGUAAACCAAGCUUUCGCUAAUUUGGCGCAUUCAACCCAAAACCAGCAAUGAGGUUUUUAUGCUGCUGUUUUAUUUUCACGAUCUGCGCGGUUCUAGUUUCAGCUGACUCAGAGACACGACCAGCCAGGUGUUCUAAGCCACCGGAAGCUGGUAACUGCCGAGCAUACAUCCCUACUUGGUAUUUUGAUUCGAAUAUGACAAGAUGUAGAAUGUUCGUAUAUGGUGGUUGCGGCGGAAAUGACAACCAGUUCCAUUCAGAAAAGAAGUGCCAAUCUGUGUGCCUAGCACCAUGGCAGCGGAAACGUGUCUGCAGUCCUAAACCUAAACCUGGAGGUUGCAACAUCGCUUCGUAUUUCUGGUAUUUUGAUCCUGUUUCAGCCACUUGCCAUAGGUAUAGGCGCGGCCUCUGUGAACGAAGCGCUAACAAGUACCCAUCGUGUCAACAGUGUAUGGCGACUUGCACAAAUAUGGAUUUUCGACAGAUAUGCCGGUCGCUUAUGGAGUCUGAACCCGGCCCAGGUGGACCUGAAUAGGCAACUACGUUCAGCUACUAUUCUUUAUCGCUUACAAGGACGGUGUUGGUCAUGUUGCCAACGCUUUGAUGGAGCUUGAAAAUGAACCUUUCAAUGCAUACAAAUAACAAACUGUGUUGUAUUCUCAUCCUAGAAACAAGCUGAUUGUGCCUACCAAAAACACGGAGUCUGUCUUUCUAUCUGUCUGUUUGUCUGCCUAUGUAUCCAACCGCUUUCCCACCAACUUGGGUCACGGGGUAGGCCAGGGUCUAAUUCUUAGAACAUUGGGCUGCUACGUGGAGAAAACCAGGGCUCGAAACCUAGAGUGUUUUAACGUUAAACCAUUCCAAUCUGUUUCUAUUUCUGCCACAAGCCCUUCACUA